CCCACUUCAAAUAAAAAGUACCGAGGGAUGCAUUUCAUUACUGCCCUGUGACACUGGAGAAGCCAGGGCUGCAGUGGUAAUAUUCCUCAUUUGUUUGUGUCACAAAGAGGAUUUAUUUGCAGGAAGAGUACAACUCCAGAGAAAAUGAACAGUCAAUACAUACGUCACGAAGUGAGGGGAUGUGAAACCAGUGACCUGAGAAACUUCUGGGAAAAGACUAUUGAACAACAAACUCGGUAUCUGCAAAUUGAAAAAGAACGUCAGCAAAGAAGUGCCCUGACAAAGCAGUUUUCUGUAGUAUCUAGAUACUACCAGAAAAUAAAACAAACUUCCAGCUAUCAGCUAACAGUCAGUUAACCUGUAGUUAACUGAUCUAUCACCAAUUUCAACACGUGCAGUAUUUCUAAGCCGCAUAGUUCACAGGAGCCUCUAUACAGUUCUUUACUAAUGUGUUUCCGAGGAGGGGAACUGGGGAAACGUUGGGUGAUGCUACCCACCAGGUGGCAGCAGGCAAUCUCCAGUGGAGAUGACAAGUCACUCCGGCAAAAAGAGGCACUUGAGGGAGGACGACACGGGAUAUGAAGAUGAACCACAACGAUCAGGUGAGCCAGCAUUGAGAUUUAAGAACUAAUCCUGAACUUCCAUCCAGUAAAAUUCUCUACGUGGGCAGAACAGUUUUCAUGGCAACUGGGGAAAAGAUCGGUAUGAUAGCAUCAGUGGGAAAGAUGAAGAGUACAAAUCUGCUCCCUGUGAAAAAAAAAUGGGACAAUCUGACUAGAGUUUCUGUCUUUAGGCUCAGAAAUGAAUGGAUGGAGAGGCUGGAAAAACGGAUAAAGAUGUUGAGGACCCAACCUGAAGACCCAUCUAGCUGAAGAUCUACAUUCAUUGCAUGUAUGGGGAAAAAAGAAAAUAGUUUUGUAGGAGAGCAUGGUGGUGUGAUUCAAAAGCUCAAGUCAAUUUUAGUUUGUGGCUUACAUGAGCUACAAAUAAUUAGCUGUCUAUUAGAAGCUUCAUGUGUAAAAUGUGUAUUGCUGCUUUUAAUAUUAUGUAUCCAUCCCAUUAUUUGAUAAACAGAGAUUGAAGCACUCUGGAGUCUUCAAGACUAACGAAUCAUGGUUCACUGAGCUGUGGAUGCUUGGGAAAAAUACAGUUCAGCUACAUAGCGUUCAGCAAAAGCAUUUCCUGGACAUUUUAUUUUUCUCUCUCAACUGAUGGUAAUUUAAUGAAAUGGUUUUCUUUUUAAUGACUGGUUGAGUGUUUCUGGUUUUGUUUUUGUGCUUUAAAUACAGCAGAGCCCUUCUCAGACUAAGGAAGUGGGGACAUAUGUAAAAAUGCUAUCACAUACAAGAUCACAAGUAGUGUUCAAUUUGUUAGGUGUAACAUAUUCUUGCUUCUGUAUUAAAUACCUGUAAGGCCAUUAAUAAAUAUUCUGAGAAAUAGACUCUGUG
Molecule: long non-coding RNA, 1448 nt
Filed under: Anser brachyrhynchus (Pink-footed goose)
Lineage: Eukaryota; Metazoa; Chordata; Aves; Anseriformes; Anatidae
Description: lncRNA (ENSABRG00000016102.1)
Source: RNAcentral